GUUUAAGAGGUUGGCCGCCCUGUCAGUGUGACCUAUAUAUCCGGUGUGCACCAUCAGGGUUGGUUUCCUUCCUGAUAUGAAGAGUCAUGUUAUGCGGUUGGCUGCCCUGUCACUGUGACCUAAAUAUCCGAUGUACAACAUCAAGUCAUGUUACGCUGUUUGCUGCCGUGUCACUGUGACCUAAAUUUCCUGUGUACAACAUCAAGGUAGGUCUCUUUCCUGGUAUGAAGAGGUGUUUGUAAAUAAUAAGACGGUGUUAUGUAUGUAUGUUUAUAUACAUAUAUGUUCCAGUUCUGAUUAAUUAUCUGCCUGAAAUUAUAUCUUAAAAAUUCAGUGAGAUAGUGGAAAUGGAAGGCUUUAAUGUGUGUAUUAUCUUGGAGCGAGUAAUGGAGAGUGCAGCAAAUUUUACGAACUUGUGUUUCUUCUAUUGCACAAUGGAACCGAAGUGUUUUCCCUCUGAACCAUGAAACUGAAGUAUUUGUGAAGGAAGAAUACACCAUUACGUACAUUUAUUGAUUAAACGAAUGUAAGUGUUUGUAAGAAUAGUGGGUGUGUAGUGAAAGUCAAUGUGUCUUUGAGGUUAUUCUUACACUAUUAUUAAUAAUCUCGUGUGAAGUAUGUACAGUGAUUUGCACAAAAUGUGGUUUAGUGGUUAUAUGGAUAGAGAGUGGAUUAGAUUUUAUGAGUGCAUAUUUUGUAUGAGAGAAAAGAGGGAGUGGUUCUGGUAUGUAUCCUCUGAAUUUGACAGGUAUGAGUAGGUUAUUGGUCAGAAUGAUAUACUUUUUUGCAUUAGUAAAGUACUAGUAAUAAGAGGGUGCAAAGUGAAUUUCUAGUUCCCAUCGAAGAAGUUAUUUUUUUAAUUUAUAUCUUAGUUCUUUGUAACAAUGGUGGGUAUAAUGUAUGUUGUUUUGGUCACAAUAAUGUGGAGUGUAGACUGAAGUUAUAAUUCUCUAGUGUGACGUUAUAUUUUUGUGUGUAAGUUAUACAGUGACAUGUAUGUUGUCUUGUAGUGUUUUCAAGAAUAUUAAGAUCUCCAUUCACCCACUAUGGAUUUAAAAGUUUCGAUUUUUAUGUACAUAUCAUGUUUCAUGAAGAAUUCUUGCUUAUAACAUGGUGGUAUGCUAAGUUAAACACAUGUUGUCGUUGGUGUAAUGCUGGCAAUCCAGUUCAGUGACGGGGAAAAGGGUGCACAGUGCUGUGUUGAGUAUGUGUUUUAGCAUGAAAAAUGAUGGCAAAUAUUUUGUAAGUUAGAUGUCUAUUUCGCUGUGAUAGACAACUGAUUGCAUUGUUGCCAUGUGAACUUCCAGGCUUACAUGUGCUAGCAGGUAGUAUAGAGAAUGAGGGGAUUAUUUUCCUUCCAUCUAUUAAAGUGCUAAGAGGAUCACAUUAUUUACAAGAAAGCAGGAGUUGUUACAGCUGACAUUCUUGUAAUUGUAAUUUAUAGUUUAGUCUAGAACAUAUAUAGUGAUGUGAUGGUUUCUUGUUUUAAUAGUUAGGAGAUUGUUGAAGGAUAUUUUCUUAGGUUCAGAUCUUAAUCAGUGAUUUCCCUAUCUAAUAUUUGAGCAAUAAUAUUGAGGGGUGGAUACCUUUGAUAUAGAGUGUAUGUAUAACGUUCCCAUAUGUCGAAAAACAUGUUAAAGUUCAUAAUGGUAACAUUUGAAAAGAGUUUAUUUCGGGAAAUAUUUGAAAUUGUGAGAGUCAAUUAAAAUAAUUGUGAUAUCAUGCACUUGGGAGCGUUCUGCAAUGUGAAUAUUUAGGAAAAAAUGCAUUUAGGACCAGUAUAAAUAUCGAAAUAUAUGCAAGGUUUCAUAAAUUACUUAGUGAGUAUUACAGAAAAAUAUAUGCAAGUGUUUAUCAU
Molecule: long non-coding RNA, 1858 nt
Organism: Cryptotermes secundus
Lineage: Eukaryota; Metazoa; Arthropoda; Insecta; Blattodea; Kalotermitidae
Exons: 3
Source: RefSeq, a predicted model, not a curated record